AUUGAACGCUGGCGGCAGGCCUAACACAUGCAAGUCGAGCGGAUGAAGGCAGCUUGCUACUGGAUUCAGCGGCGGACGGGUGAGUAAUGCCUAGGAAUCUCCCUGGUAGUGGGGGAUAACGUCCGGAAACGGGCGCUAAUACCGCAUACGUCCUGAGGGAGCAAGUGGGGGAUCUUCGGACCUCACGCUAUCAGAUGAGCCUAGGUCGGAUUAGCUAGUUGGUGGGGUAAAGGCCUACCAAGGCGACGAUCCGUAACUGGUCUGAGAGGAUGAUCAGUCACACUGGAACUGAGACACGGUCAAGAGUCCUACGGGAGGCAGCAGUGGGGAAUAUUGGACAAUGGGCGAAAGCCUGAUCCAGCCAUGCCGAGUGUGUGAAGAAGGUCUUCGGAUUGUAAAGCACUUUAAGUUGGGAGGAAGGGCAGUAAGUUAAUACCUUGCUGGUUUGACGUUACCAACAGAAUAAGCACCGGCUAACUUCGUG
Molecule: ribosomal RNA, 484 nt
Filed under: uncultured bacterium
Lineage: Bacteria
Description: partial 16S ribosomal RNA
Rfam family: Bacterial small subunit ribosomal RNA
Source: RNAcentral